GAAUUCACUAGUGAUUCAGGCCUAACACAUGCAAGUCGAGCGGUAGAGAGAAGCUUGCUUCUCUUGAGAGCGGCGGACGGGUGAGUAAUGCCUAGGAAUCUGCCUGGUAGUGGGGGAUAACGUUCGGAAACGGACGCUAAUACCGCAUACGUCCUACGGGAGAAAGCAGGGGACCUUCGGGCCUUGCGCUAUCAGAUGAGCCUAGGUCGGAUUAGCUAGUUGGUGAGGUAAUGGCU
RNAcentral lists this ribosomal RNA (236 nucleotides) under uncultured bacterium. RNAcentral describes it as "partial 16S ribosomal RNA". It matches the Rfam family "Bacterial small subunit ribosomal RNA", at positions 43 to 265 of the family's 1533-position model. The record is from RNAcentral.